This is a long non-coding RNA of Vombatus ursinus (common wombat), 1253 nucleotides long. RefSeq lists it as uncharacterized. NCBI's taxonomy places the organism in Eukaryota, Metazoa, Chordata, Mammalia, Diprotodontia, Vombatidae. The transcript is spliced from 3 exons. The record is from RefSeq and is a predicted model, not a curated record.
CCUUUCUCCUUUCUUCCUUCUUUCCUUCCUUUUUUCUUCUUUUCUUCCUUCCAUCCUUCCACCUAUAUUUAUUAAAGUACCUGCCACACAGAAGCCACUGCACUAAUUAUGGAAGACACAAAAACAACAACAAAAAAAAUUACAUAGUCCCUGACCUCAAGGAGCUUACAUUCUAAUAAGGAAAUACUUCAUGCACACAGAUAUGCAAACGUGCAAACACAUGCAAAUUAAUUUCAGUGGGAUCAGGGCACUAACAGCUGGGGCAAUCAGGAAAGGCUUCGUUUUAGGAGGUUGUAGGUGAUAGCUGGUUAAAAGGAGCCUUAAGGGCAGCCUUGAAGGCAAUGAACCUUGAAGGAAGCCAAGCAUUCUAAGAGGCCAAGGUGAGGAGAGAAUGCACUUCCCGAAACAGGAAGGCAGCCUAUUCAAAGGCUUGGAGGUCGGAGAUGGCACUUCAAGUCUGGAGAACAGAAAGCAGGCAAUUUGUCUGGAAUACAGAGUUACCUCAAGGGCAAUACUAUGAAAUUCUUCCACCUCCUGCCCUCUUAGAAGACACUGGGCCUUAGAGGCCUUCAGCUCAGUCCUGUCAUUUGACAGAUGAGGAAUUCACCGCCAAGAGAGGAGAACCAACUUGCCCUAAGUCACCCAGAGAACUGGUGUCAGAACCAGGACCAGAACACAAGUUUUUUCUCUGUACUGAUUGGCUAGCCAGCCGCAUGGGGAUGAUGAAUUUCUGCUAAGGCCUGUCAGACUGCUCAUGACAUCAUAGGAUCUCUGCCUUCAAGUAUUUAGUUCCUAAGAGCUAAUAUUUAUAUACAAAAGAACCUCAAAGAUCACCUGGUCUAACCCUUUUGUUUUCACAGAUAAGGAAACUGAGGCCCGGGGAGUUUAAGUAACCUGACCAAAGUCACACUGGCAGGAAGUAUCCGAGGAAAACUCAGUAAAGACUCCAGCUCAGACAAAAGAGACCCUUGGAAAACAUGACCUUCUGCAGACUUCUUUCCUGAGAGCACUGCCUACAACUUGUCCAGUUUAUCCGGCAGCAUUGUCUCCUUCCCUUUGUGGUUCUUCAAGAUGUGACUCUCUGAGCAGAAAGACACAUAUCUCAUUUGUGGGAAGAAAGAAUAUCAGGUAAUCUGGAAUCAACAAGGUCAACAGCUGCUGCUCCAAGGUAGUUUUUUUUCUCUUUUCCCUAGUGAAAAUUGGGAAUAAGUGACCACAACAAUAAGGGCAGCUAGGUGGCUGCAGUGGAUGGA